AAAAGGAAGAAGAUACAGAAUGUAACGAGCCUUCUGAGGUAGCGAGUAUGACACAUGAAACACGAACUGAAACCACAGAGGACAUAACAGAGCCAAAUAAGGACCUCAAUGCUCCAAUUUCAGGAGAAAGCAACAAAACAUUUGUUGAAAAUAUUUCCACUCUCGCUGAGGUAUCUGAGAUGGAGACUGAGAAAAAUGGCCUGGCUGUCAGCAAUUCUGACUCUGCGUCGGGUGAAGUGAGUCAUGUAACAGGUUUGAAGGAAGCUGAAACAGAAAAGGAGGAGCAGAAAGAAAACAUGGAUACUGCUCCGGAAGAGAAGGGUCAAGCAACCAUCGUAAAAGAUGAAAUGGCCUCGGAAGUUGAAGAUAUUGGUGUACAAGCAGAGGAAAAUUGUGAAUCAAAAGAGAAGUUGGAGGAGCAUAUUCCAACAGCAGCAGACAAGGUUGAAACAUUCUCAAAGGAAGCCGAGGCAGAAAAUGAGGAGCAGAUAAACAAUGGUGAUGUUGCUGCUGAAGAGAAGGUUUCGGAAACCAUCUUAACAAAUGAAAGAACCUUCGACGUGGAAGAUACCAAUGUGCAAGCAGAGAAAAAUGUCGAAUCAAAUGAGAACUUGGAGGAGACUAUUCCAACAGCAGCGGAUGAAGGCGAAACAUCCCUGCAGGAAGCUGAAGCAGAAGGCAAGGAUGAGAUUAAAAGUACUGAUAUUGCUCAUGCAGAUACUGAUGGACAUGGAGAUGAAAUUGAUAAUUCUGAAGAGAACUUGGAUAAGCAGAUCCCAGCAGGCGAACGUGAAAUAAGCUUGAAAGCAGCCGAAGCAGAAUAUAAGGAGCAGGUCAAACAUGCUGAUAUUGUUCCUGAAGAGGAGGGUCUAGCAACCGUCUUAACAGACGAAACACCCUUAGAUGUCGAGGAUAUUGAGGUAAAAACUGACUGUGUCGAAUCAAAAGAGAAUGUGGAGGAGCAGAUUCCAACAACAGUAGAUGAAGGCGGAAAAAGUACUUAUAUUUCUCCUGAAGAUAUUGAAGUACAAGCAGAUGAAAAUUUUAUUACACUAGAGAAUUUGGAGAAGCCAAUUCUAACAACAUCAGGUGAACGAGAAACAGGCUUGGGAGAAGCUGAAGCAGAAAUUAAGGAGCAGGUCAAAAGUAUUGAUAUUGUUCCUGAAGAGAUGGCAACCAUCUCAACAGCUGAGACACCCUCGGAUGUUGAAGUUAUCGGUGUACAAGCAGAGGAAAGCCUCAAAUCAAAAGAGAGCGUGGAGGAGCAGAUUCCAACAGCAGCGGAUGAAGAUGAAAGAUUCUUGAAGGAAUCCAAAGCAGAAAACAAGGAGCUGAUCGACGAGGAAAAUUUGAAUUUACAAGAACAAGUGACUGAAAUUACAAACACAAUAGAAGAUGACACUGAAAGGGAGGAGGUAAGAUCGGAAUAAAUUUUUUUAUGAGUUUUUCUCUCUGGCUUACCAUCUGACAAGUAGUCUCCCUACACGGUUUUGUUAUUGAUUAAGAUGCAAGAUUCAUAACGUAUCACAGAUGCAUAUGAACAUGCGAAGAAACUAUGUUUUAUUUUAAAAUGGUAAGAACGAUUUCUAAAAUCUAUUUUCUCCUUAUAUAUUAUGAUGGUUUCAUCUCUAAUGUAGGUGCUUGAGACUACCAGUACGGAGCAAGAAACUGGAGAACAUGUGGUACACGAAAUUCAUACUGUCCCAGAACCCCCUCGAGACUCCAUUGAUAAAGAAACAAAUGAAGACAACUCCGCGGAAUAUCAGGUUUACCUGGACACAAACAUAAGGCCUACAAAAGUGUGAUCCUUUUUCUUCGUCUCCCAGUACAUAACCUUUGUUUUUUUUUUCCCUUCCAAUGUUAGGCAUGUACUGAGGCAGCUGAUUUGAGUACAAGUGCAGAGGAAAAGAACUUAGAGGAACAUGCCAUUCGGGAACUCUCUUCUCCACUGGUAGUAGAAGAAGCAACUAAAGAAAUCCCGAAAGAAGAAGAAACCUACCCCACGCUUCUAGAAGAAGAGGUAAUCUAGCAUUCAAUAUCAAAUUUUUAGAUUAAAAUACACUAUAGUAUUAUCUUGCAAAUUGAAAUUUACAACUCAUAUCGGCAACAGGAAAAGGAAGGGCAUGCAACAUGUAACAAGCCCAAUGAGGAAUAUGAGGCAGAGAUUGAGAAAAAUAUUCAGGAGAAAGAUGGCAACACAGUUAGCAAUUCUGAAUCUCUGUCUGGAGAACUGAGUCAUGUAACAGCCUUGAAGGAAUGUGAAACAGAGAUUGAAAGGCAGGACAGGAACAUUGAUACUGCUCCUGAAGAGAAGGGUCAAGCAACCAUCUCAGCAGAUGAAACAGCCUCGGAAGUUGAGGAUAUUGAUGUACAAUUAAAGGAGAACCUUGAGUCUAAAGAGAACUUGGAGGAACAAUUUCCAACAGCAGCAGAUGAAGGUGAAAUAAUCUUGAAAGAAGCUGAAGCAAAAAACCAGGAGCAGAUAAAAAAUGUUGAAAUUGCUCAUGAAGAUGUUGAUGCACAAGCGGAGAAAACUGUCAACUCAGAAGAGAACAUAGAUAAGCAGAUUCUGCCAAUAGCACAUGAAGGUGAAACAAGCUUGAAAGAAACCGCUGUCUUGAUUCUAAAAGAAGAGGUUAGCAUGAUAUCAGAAUUUUCGAUUUUUACAUUAUAGUUCAUUGUAUUACAUAUUCCAAUCAAGAAUUGGUAUCCCCCUGCAGAUAAAGGAAGAAGAUACAGAAUGUAAUGAGCCUGCUGAGGUAGCGAGUAUGACACAUGAAACACGAUCUGAAACCACAGAGGACAUAACAGAGCCAAAUAAGGACGUCAAUGCUCCAAUUUCAGGAGAAAGCAACAAAACAUUUGUUGAAAAUAUUUCCACACUCGCUGAGGUAUCUGAGACGGGGACUGAGAAAAAUGUUCAGGAGAAAAAUGGCCCGGCUGUCAGCAAUUCUGACUCUGCGUCAGGUGAAGUGAGUCAUGUAACAGGUUUGAAGGAAGCUGAAACAGAAAAGGAGGAGCAGAAAGAAAACAUUGAUACUGCUCCGGAAGAGAAGGUUCAAGCUACCGUCUUAAAAGAU
RNAcentral lists this long non-coding RNA (3080 nucleotides) under Malus domestica (apple). Its description in RNAcentral is "long non-coding RNA (MDOM_LNC017157)". Lineage: Eukaryota; Viridiplantae; Streptophyta; Magnoliopsida; Rosales; Rosaceae. The record is from RNAcentral.